UCCGCAAUAGCUCAGUCGGUAGAGCACGUGACUGUUAAUCACGCUGUCGCAGGUUCGAGUCCUGCUUGCGGAG
Molecule: non-coding RNA, 73 nt
Organism: Atopostipes suicloacalis DSM 15692
Lineage: Bacteria; Bacillati; Bacillota; Bacilli; Lactobacillales; Carnobacteriaceae
Source: Rfam